GGAGGCUUCGCCUAGUCUGGUCUAUGGCGCCGCACUGCUAAUGCGGUUUGGGCUUUACCGCCCAUCGAGGGUUCAAAUCCCUCAGCCUCCG
RNAcentral lists this transfer RNA (91 nucleotides) under Streptomyces carminius. It matches the Rfam family "tRNA". Rfam says of the family: Transfer RNA (tRNA) molecules are approximately 80 nucleotides in length. Their secondary structure includes four short double-helical elements and three loops (D, anti-codon, and T loops). RNAcentral also lists the same sequence under 3 other names. The record is from Rfam by way of RNAcentral. Lineage: Bacteria; Bacillati; Actinomycetota; Actinomycetes; Kitasatosporales; Streptomycetaceae.